AAUAAUUGAAUCAUCUCUCUUUCUAAAACAUGCUUCAAUUCCAUUUUUUUUACAUAACACAUUAGAUAUUUUGUAAUAUAAUUUCUUUUAUAUUGAUUGAUCUUAUCCACAAAUGCUUGUAACACUUUGUUUGCCAUACCAUCUUUGUAAUCUUUAAUUUAUUGCUAUUACAUGAAUAAGGAAAAAGUCUCAAACAUGCUUACAGAAUUGGGAUCAAAAUACAUAUUUUGUCCUCUACUAAUUUCACCACCUAUAGCUCUAAUUAAAGUACCACCCAUAGCCCUUCUUUCAACUUUCUUGCCUUCUUUUUCCAUAAUUUAAAUAAUCCAAGAAAAUCAAAUACCUUCUACCUCAAGCCUUUCAUGUUGAGUUCACCAAAUAUGUUAUAUUACAUGAAGUCUUGCUUGAAAAUGUACCAAAUACCUAGUUGUAGAAGAUAAAAUAGAAAUAGCUAUAACAAAAUCCUAACUCUAAUAGAUUAUUAAAUAAACUUUAAUCAAAUCUUAUCAAUGCUAAAUAAUCUUUAAUCAAAUUCAAAAAAAAUCUUAAAGAAAUUAUAAGAGAAAUAAUAAGACAUCUUAAAGGAAUUUUAAAAAAAAAUCUAUAUUAAAUCUUAAAACAAUCCUUAAAAAAACCUAAAAAAUAUUAGAAUAAUCACAAAUAUAUCUUAAAUAAAUCUCAAUCAAGUUUUAAUUUAAAUCUCAUCGACACCUUGAUAGACUUCAAUCAAACUCUAGACAAAUCCUAAAUCCUAAACCAAAUCCUAUACAAAUCCUAAACUCUAGAUCAAAUCUUAGACAAACUCUAAAUCUUAGACCAAAUCCUAAACAAAUCCUAAAUCCUAGACCAAAUCCUAGAUAAAUCCUAAAUCCUAAAUCAAAUUAUAGACAAAUCUUAAAUCCUAAAUCAAAUCAACUCUUAACUUCCUUCUAU
Molecule: long non-coding RNA, 933 nt
Filed under: Physcomitrium patens
Lineage: Eukaryota; Viridiplantae; Streptophyta; Bryopsida; Funariales; Funariaceae
Description: long non-coding RNA (PPAT_LNC002538)
Source: RNAcentral